UGUACACGACCCGCUUCACCGUCUUGGAGUUCAGGCAGGCCCUUAGGAUGCCCAACGCUCCAUCGAUGGAUCUUUUGGUGACGACCGGCUCUGGCUCUCUGUCCUCGAAGUCCACCGGGGUGGCAACAUGGAAGACUCCGACACAGCCCUCGAUGGCUGGGCUGAAACUCUCGGGGUCACUGAGAUCAGCGGUUAGGAUUUGGAGCCUUUCUGAUGCUCCGGGUAGAUUUUUCAAGAAGCUCGUGUCCCUUUUGCCAUCUGACCGGAACAAAUCGGUCAAUGGCUUUGCGAAUAAAAGCUCAAACAUCUAAUGGGAAACUGAUGUGUGAGGUAAACUGGAGAUAGCAGUCCAAAAUAAAUUAACCAACGUGACUCAUUCAGGAAACACUCCGAAUUACAGCAUUAAACUUAGCAACGAGAACUGCAAGAAAAGCUGAUUCAAGAGAGAACGAGUGAAUUCAUAAUGUAGAACAAGAGCAAGAAAUCAUCAUUAACCGAUUCAGCUGCCCCUAAUUCAAGACAUCCUUAUCUCAUCUUAUGCCUUCUCAUGCUUGAAAGGGCGGCAAAAAAGGGUUGCUUUUCUUAUGGUUCCAAGCCCAAUGACAAUUCCGAUCAGAAUCGAACCUCAAACGCCCGAACCUGACAAAAUACAUAGAAAUUUCUCCAUCUGUCGACACCCCAACUUUCUGCAUAAACAUUUCACAUGAACAGACCGUAAACACAUGAGCAGUCCCACACACUUAAUCUAUACGAUCAAUCUUCGAUCAAGAAAGCUAACCUUAGUAUUGCCAAUAAAUUUGCGGGCACAGACAGAUCAGAUCACGUUGGACCGUCGUGUUGACAUAUACAGUACAAAACAUCAAUCUCAGACCAUACACUUGAUCAGAACUCAUGGCAAGAACGAAUCUCCAUGUUCAAGCAGGAAGAAAGUGUUAGUAGUAUUAUGCCCUAUAUUAACUUGUUUAUUUAAAAAAAAAAAAAAAAAGCUUCAUGCAUGUGCACGAAUUCGUGCACAUGCACGAAGCGUANNNNNNNNNNNNNNNNNNNNNNNNNNNNNNNNNNNNNNNNNNNNNNNNNNNNNNNNNNNNNNNNNNNNNNNNNNNNNNNNNNNNNNNNNNNNNNNNNNNNNNNNNNNNNNNNNNNNNNNNNNNNNNNNNNNNNNNNNNNNNNNNNNNNNNNNNNNNNNNNNNNNNNNNNNNNNNNNNNNNNNNNNNNNNNNAGAGUUAAAGAGGGUUGUUGAAAAACAGAGAAAAGAGUUAGUGUGUUUUUUGGUUUUGUUCGAGAGAAACACAAGCGAGAAAUCAGUGAUGCUUUGCUGAAAAUAGAAAGCAAAGUGCAUGCGUGUUCUUUUGUCUUUGAGACACGAGGAAGAGAAACAAUUCUCUCGUUCGGGCCGUGACUAUUAUACACCAAGAAUACGACGGAUUCUUUUCACGUGAUUGCUAGCACGAUCGAAGUGGUGGAUAUCCGAAAGUUCUCCCUUCCGUUCAACGUUCGUUGUUGGUGUGUCUGAACUAGAGGUCCGACGCUUGUGGGACUCGUACUGUAGAACAUCCGAACCGACUUGUUUCAAAGCGCGCUUCUAGAGGUAUUUCAUUUAACUCCCUUUUAUGUUUAGAUUUUUGAUUGAAACGCACAAACAACGCCUAAGGAAAAUCAUGUGUAAAAUAUAUAUUUGUUUCCGCUGCGUACUUUAUGUUAAUAUUUCUUAUACAUGAUUAAUGAAAACCCAACAGAAAGAAGAAGGGAGACUUACCCGGGUCGGGUCUGACGGUGGUCCGGACGGAGUAACCAUGUUCAAGGAGCCUCAUGAUGAGCCAUGAAGCUACGAAGCCAGUACCGCCUGUCACGCACACCGUGCCUCUGUUGCCCUCCAUGGCUUGGAGAAGUGAGACUUCAAUUUUCAGGAAGCAUCCAACUUUUUUGAGUGACCUCGAUGUUUCGGCUGGCAGAACGGGGGGCGCUUCUCCACUUAAAAGCGGAUGCAACGCCGCUUACGUCACUUUGAUUUUCAUUUUCAAAAGGGGCCAAAAAAAUAAAUGAGUGGUAACGGAUACAUCUUCCCCUGAAAGUCAUUUUCCAUUUGAAUCAUAGACACUCAAUCUACUUUUCAAUCAUCCAUUGUGGACGCAAUCCUACACCAAUGUGUCAAUAGACAAGUAUCUCUCGACAUUAAAUGCCUAUGACACAAGUUGGCUAGAGAUUCAUACUCAAUAAAACUCUAAUUUAUGACUUAAUUAAAGACAAGAUACCCAUUUGCUACUAGACUACCACAUUCGGUGGUACAACGACUUGACAUAUGUUGGAUAAUAUUUUUUAACAUCUUAAAUUCUUUGAAAAAAAAAUACUUGUUUAACAUGGUAUUAGAGCACAAGUGACAAGGUUGAAUGCCUAGACUCCCUCCCAUGUUUUGUAUGUUUAUCCAUCCUCGAUUUUUCGUUUGAUGUGAUUAUGCACCUAUCUCGUAUUUCAAAUGUAAGUCUUGAUUCACACACAAUAAAGGGUCUUAAAUAAUAUGGUGCAUCAAUAAUGUUGGCAACCAUCUAAACAGCUUAAAACUUUUUCGAAAGAAAAAAUGAUUUGUUUCACUAUCUAUAGAUCUUUUGAUUUCUUAGAAUUCAAUGAAUUCGUCAUUUCAUUCAAGUUUUUCACUUUAUCACCAAUCAAUAGUUGGACGGAAGUGUUACAACAUGAUCAGCAAUUAUUUCUUUUUUCUACAAAAUGUCAGGAUCAUAACAAAUACACAAAAAGAUCUUAAUUGUUUGUGAAAAUUAAUUUGCCGAUCGAUAAUAGAUAGAACAACUGCCCGACACAUUAAAAUGCUUUAAUGAUAUAGAGUUGUGGGCAUCAAGAUAUCGCGGCACUAAACUAUACCAAUAAUGCCAUUCAUUUUGUGGAAUAUGUUCACCCAAUUAAGCGAUAUAACUGUUGGCCUCAAAUAAGAGAAUAUCCUAAUGAACUUGUUACCGAGACAAUAUGAACUUCUCUCUAUACAUAUUUUUAUAACCCUCAGAAAUUCUCAUUUGAAUCAAAUAAACCAUGAACACACUGGCAAAAUCAUUCAUGGUUUGACGAAGAGAUUUGUACGAUUCCAUCAUUAUCGCGUCCCAAAAGAGGACGACCCUCGUCGUGCCAUUCGAUGUUAGUGGAGGUGUCCACAAUUCUCUGUCAUGGUCCUGCUCGAAUGCUGGCGGUGGGGUUGGCGCUCGGUCUCAAUCCAACGAAGAGGACCAUCCAUGGCGAGAAACCCUACUUUUCAUCUCAAUUGAACUCGCUAUCCGGACCAGUGCAUGACCGGUGUCGAUCGUUUACACGAUCUUUAUCCUCACCCAGCUGUGCUUGGAGGGAGCACGCCUAGUUAGGUUAAUCAGUGCCUGUUGACUCUCUUUCCUGCGAUGAGACAAAGCUACUUUUCCCUUUUGUCUCUCUCGUGCUCUCGUCCUUUCCUUUCCCUCAAUAUGGCCGUUCGAUCUACACGCUGGUUCGCUUUCUCUGAAGAUGUGGGUGAUUCUACACUGACCCAGCAGCUGCAUUAGGCCUCUGCGGUAGCGCCAUUAGCAUUUGGACGUCCCUAUUAGAAAAGACUCACAUAGCAUCUGUUUCCACUUCAAGUAAUUGCGCUCCCUUAUCUGCACUAGGUUCCUUGAUCAUCACGCAAUACGCUUCCAGCUCCCAGGUGCACCUAUUGCUCCUACGACGGCACCUUCAGUAUUGAGCUUGUGCCAGCCUUCGUGGAGGUCACUUCCAAGGAUGAACAGCUCUAUUCCUAGCUCCUCCUCCCCCACUUUUGUUCCCAACCCAAUUCUUAUGUGCAGACGCAUAACCAAUCUGUGGCCAACAUUAGCGCCGGUCCAGUCCCUCAGACUAAGAUCAUAACUAUGGUGAAGGGGAGAAGGAGCACCAAUGUCAGCCCAACAUUCAUUAAGGAGAGAUAGUGCUAACAUUCGAAUCUCUUCUCGCCAGAGUGGAUCUCGUGGCAAUGCUGGUAGUGACAUUAACCAAAUGAUGAGGAACAACAUCCGCUUUCCACGCGCAGCUCCAGUCUUCUUCCAGCUUUCUCCAAGUAUCCAAGCCUUCAGCCAAAUGAUAAGCAUCGUUCAAAGUAAAGCGCCAGUCCCUAGAGAAACUCCAACCGAAUUCAGAGUGUCCCUUGCCCCUCUUCCGAUCUGGACUGCCUGGGUCCAUUACCGUUAUUCUAUAAGCGCUCGGAUAAAGUCGCGAUCCGCCGUGCUUACCUGGGUCGGGACGGAUGGUGGCCCGGACCGAGUAACCCUUCUCGAGGAGCCUCAUGAUCGUCCAUGUAGCCAAGUAUCCAGUCCCGCCCGUUACACACACCAUGCCUUUACCGCUCUCCAUCAACGACUCUCUCUCUCUCUCUUUCCCAAGCUAGCUUGUGAUGGAAAUGGUGCUUUUUUAUGCUACUGGAGAGAGGUGGCCGACAGUAGCCAGGAAAGAAUGUUAGAUAUUUCGCCGCAUAUGUAACAGGGUUUGUGGACAUUCAUUAUGAGAUCCUGAAUUAAAUCGCUUGAGAGUGUUCGCUUUGACCAAUUCCAUGUCGAGCUUCGUGGUUGUCCUUUAACGAACGGGGAAGUAAUUUCUCAUGAGGUUACCAAUCUUGGAAGCUAUGAAACAUCGACACACCUCAAGAGCUUUUGUGUCGUGUCGGACACUUCGAUACAUGUCCGACACUCUCCAACACUUUCGGACACUCUCUGACACUCAGUCAACACAUGUCGGAAAAUCCAACACUUAGUCAACUUUUCUAACACUCUCCAACACUUGAGUCGAAAUUCUAACAUGCGAGUUUCUAACACAAGAUUUUUAUAUUGAGGUCAAUUUUAAAAAUUCAAUAAAUGAGAGGUCAAAAUAUUUUCACACACAAUAAUAAAAAUAAUAAAUGGAGAAAGAAGAAAAACCCAAUCUUCUUUUAUCUUUUGACUCCCACUUCCUGUGAUACACAAUUUUACCUCUUAAGUUUUUUUCAUCAUCUUCCAACAUAUAUAACAUGCGAGUCCAGAAAUAUAGACUGCUUGUUUUUUCUCUAAGUUUUAUGAAUUAUUGAAAUAUAAUUGAAUUUGUCAAAUUGAAACAAUAAAUGAUAUUAAUAAAUGGCGAAUUAAUGUUUUUAGUGUAUAUUCAUUCUAGGCUUAUUUAUUUAUUUAUUUAUUUAUUUAUUUAUGAAUUUGAUUAAAAUUAUCUUGAUUGAAAUAAUCAUAAAUAUGAUAAUUUUAAUAUGCAUGUCCCAACGUGUCGGAAUUCUCUAGUUUUUGAAAAAUGAUGUGUCGACGUGUCGUGUCGUGUGGUAUCGUGUUGCGUGUCGAUGCUACUUAGCUUGGAAGUGCCUUAAUUUGAGCUCACUUAACUUUGAAGUUCCAAAGCAAAUUUUAACAUUAUAUCAAAAAAAGCCUCUGUAAGUUAGUUUUUGCACAAUUCGGUUCAGUACAUAAUUCAGUUCAUUCAUACACCCUUCACCAUCCUAAAAGCUCGUCACGAGCCACUCAUUGUCUAGGCCUUCUAGCCCCGGCAACUACUCCCCACUCUUAUCGGAUCGAGUUGUUAUGUUUAUAAUGUAGGAUCCAUUAUCGUUAUUAUUAGAAGAUUUAAAUUUACAAAUAGAGAAGAUUGGCAUUCGCUCUGACGGAUGAUGACCACUCCCGUUCCCCUUCCCCUUCCGCAUACGCAACCAUAUGGAAAGCAAAGGACCCCCUUGAAUAGUUUGCAAGCGAUAGCAUCGAAAAAUUGGAGCCUUUACUCAGUCUAGAAUCGGCGUGAAGACCGGAAUUUUUUUUAUUUUUUUUGGCGUGUGAAGACCGGAAAUUUGAAGACCGAGCAGUAGUAUACCAGUCGUUCCGGCACGGUUGAAAUACUAAUUCCUAGAUGAACGGAUUUCAACUUCAUGCACGGUCGGAUCAUAGCAUUGACACAGGGAACGAUUAGUUUUUCUUGCCCUUUUAGAUAAACAGUCUGCAGCGUGGGCAACCAUGCUUGGUAGUACCCACUUGAAUGAAGGUCAACCUGUUGUUCAACCUCUGCCUCUUUCGCGGCUCUGAUUUAGUUUAUAGGAGAUGCAGAAAUGGAGAUGUUCAUCAAAUCUAUAGAUCAGGAAGCAUGGAAAGUCAUUGAAAAUGGACCAUGCGCUGCAUCAAACGAAGGAAGAGAUGAUAUUCAUGAGAAGGAACUAGCGCAAGCUACAAAUCUGGGCAUAGGCUCGAUUGCACUCCAACGCGGGCUGAAUAUAAUUAGAUAUCAAUGUGGAGAACAGCGAUGGAGAUUCGGGAUGGAUCGGGGGUAACCAGUGAGGAAACCAAAAGUGAAGAAGAGUUAAAUUAUCUCAGCUGAUGCGCUUAACUCGAAGGAGCAUACCAACUCUCCAAGUAAUGUUUAUACUGACUAGAAAAAUUUGAGCGUUUUCUUUAGGACUUUAGGGGCAAAAGAAAUUGUCACGGGACAAUGACGAAAGCAACGGGGACAAAACGGAGGUAAUUUGCUUUGCUUUGCUUGUAAGAAAUUAGGACAUGUCAAGUUCGAGUAUCCUGCUUGCACGAGGAGGAGGGAGGAAAUCAAAGAAAUACAGGGCAAUGGAAUCAACUUGGAGUGAUCUUGGUAUCUCUAGUGAAAAGGAGAGAAAAGGCGAACUUGUGUUUAAUGGCUAGUAGCCUAGUACCAAUGCUAUGGAAUAGGUAAACGAUUUCCUAGAUUGGUGAUGCUUUUUGAUGACGAUUUUGAUUUUGCCUUGGAAGAAAUGUAAGUUGAGUGGAAAAGGGUUUCGACAAUGAACGUUGUAUUGAAUAAGGAAAAUGGUUCUAUGCAAUACUUUCUUGAAGAAUGAAAGGGUGCUUUCAGUAGUACUUCCAAUAGGAAAGGCAGAGUUGCUUGAUAUAGCAUGGAUUAAAAAAGACAGUGGAGAUGCUAUCGAUUUCUUACAGUACAUGGCAACAUAGAUGGUGCAUUAAGCUUCGGAAACAGAAAUUCUCAACAAUAUUCACGAAGAACCAAACACACGUAUAUCAUGAUCUAUGCUAUAAGUGCUUCUGUUCUCAGUACUGCAAUAUCAAAUGUACAAGAACAGAAACAUACAGUACCAAGAUUAUUUAUGCGGUUUGCUAUCUCCUAUAUGGCGCUCGGAUAAAUUAGUUUUCACAAGCUGUGCUAGAUACAUGGUACGCAUUUUCUCACCAUGUUUCUCUAUUCUUUCUGCAUUUUGUUUAGAGGACUAUUUUCAGCCAAGGUCAGAAAAGAAAUAGGUCAUACCAUUAAAUGGCAUCAUGUCCACUUUCUGGUACUCUGAACAUUCCUACGUUCAGCCUGAUGUACUGAAUUCCGUAGGCUUCGGUUGAUCUAGAGAUACCCCUUUUCUUUGCAGCAUUGGAUGGCUCCGUCAAACAUGUCCUCGAUCCUGUACUUAUACUCAAAACCGGCGUCCAACAGUUUCCUUGACGAUAGGCGGAAAAACCUGGGGCCUUUCAAUUCCUUCAAGGACCUACAAAGAUUUGAAAAGCUUUGCUUUCAGUCCAAGAACAGCAAUUAUCUGUUACAUCAUGAAAUGGGAUAUAUCAGGACUUACUCUGGAGAGGGUAUCUGAAACUCCGGGUAUCUUUCCGAGAGAAACUCGGACAUCUCCUUGAUGGUCAUCGUGGCCGAGGUACAAAUGUACCGCCCCUUGGUGUCGGGGUGCUCGAAGAGGAAGAUGUGUGCUCUCGCCAAGUCAUCUACAUGCACCAAAGCUACUUCGAGAAGAAGAGAGUACUCAUUCUCGUUCCCUGUUAAUUUGGAACGCAGUCAAUCUAAGAUUUAAGAUUCUUUGUAUCAUCGAAAUGAAUAUAAACAUAUAGACGGACAGAUUAUAGUCUUGUCUUCCUUUGUCAUAUACUUGACAUUGAGCAGAGAAACGUUGUCAAAUUAUGGAAUUCUGGUAUCGUUCUGGUGACCAAAACAAUCAAAUUGAUCAUGAAUUUGACUGCAGUACCAAAAAUGUAUCACGAAAAGUUAUUGUAAAAUCAAUAGAUUAUGGAGAUCAAUAUUAUAUGAACUAUAGUUUCUCUGUAGAUUUCACGUGAUCAACGGUUCGGAUAGACUUGACUGACCCUAUUUAUAUUGAUCAUAUAAUAUUUUCUCGUGUAUCACAUUACCUAAUACCAAAGCCAGCAAAGUUCUGACGGAUCCAGCGAACCUGGGGCAAAUGAAAGGCCCGUGGACAAACGGGGGAGCCACCGUCACCACUUCCAGUCCGUGCUGCUCUCCGAACUCAAGAACCGCCUUCUCAGUCAAUGUCUUUGAGAUUGCGUAGGAAGCUCCAAGCCUCGUCAUUUCUCGGAUGGACUCAACAUCGCUCCAGGAGUCCUCAUCCAAUAUAUCGGCCCCAGAGUUGUUAAAUGGAAUUGCAGCCGCACUCGAAGUGUACACGACACGCUUCACCGUCUUGGAGUUCAGGCAGGCCCUCAGGAUGCCUAACGCUCCAUCGAUGGAUCGUUUGGUUACGACUGGCUCUGGCUCUCUGUCCUCGAAGUCCAGCGGGGUGGCAACGUGGAAGACUCCGACACAGCCCUUGAUGGCUGGGCUGAAACUCUCGGGGUCACUGAGGUCAGCGGUGAGGAUUUGAAGCCUUUCUGAUGCUCCUGGUAGAUUUUUCAAGAAGCUCGUGUCCCUUUUGCCAUCUGACAGGAACAAAUCGGUCAAUCGCUUUGCGAAUAAAAGCUCAAACAUCGAAUGGGAAACUGAUGUGUGAGGUUAACUGGAGAUAGCAGCCCAAAAUAAAUUAACCAACAUGACUCAUUCAGGAAACACUCCGAAUUACAGCAUUAAACUUAGAAACGAGAACUGCAAGAAAAGCUGAUUCAAGAGAGAAUGAGCGAAUUCAUAUGUAGAACAAGAGCAAGAGAUCAUCAUUAACCGAUUCAGCUGCCCCUAAUUCAAGACAUCCUUAGUUCAUCUUAUGCUUUCUCAUGCUUGAAAAGGCGGCAAAAAAGGGUUGCUUUUCUUAUGGUUCCAUGCCCAAUGACAAUUCCGAUCAGAAUCGAACCUCAAACGCCCAAAUCCGACAAAAUACAUAUAAAUUUCUCCAUCUGUCGACACCCCAACUUUCUGCAUAAACAUUUCACAUACACAGACCGUUCGAAACACAUGAGCAAACACUUAAUCUAUACGAUCAAACUUCAAUCAAGAAAGCUAACCUUAGUAUUGCCAAUAAAUUUGCAGACACAGACAGAUCAGAUCACGUUGGACCGUCGUGUGGACAUAUACAGUACAAAACAUCAAUCUGAGACUAUACACUUGAUCAGAACUCAUGGCAAGAACGAAUCUCCAUGUUCAAGCAGGAAGAAAGAAGAAGGGAGACUUACCCGGGUCGGGUCUGACGGUGGUCCGGACGGAGUAACCAUGUUCAAGGAGCCUCAUGAUGAGCCAUGAAGCUAUGAAGCCAGUACCGCCUGUCACGCACACCGUGCCUCUGUUGCCCUCCAUGGCUUGGAGAAGUGAGACGCUUCAAUUUUCGGGAAGCAUCAAACUUUUUUGAGUGACCUCGAUGUUUUGGUCAGCAGAGUGGGCGCGCUUCUCCACUUAAACGCGGAUGCAAAGCCACUUACUUCACUUUGAUUUUCAUUUUCAAAAGGGGCAAAAAAAAAUGAGUGGUGACAGGUGCAUCUUCCCCGCUGAAAGUCGUCUGUCGGUUUGAACCAUAAGCACUCGAUCUACUUUUUUCAAUCAUCCGUCGUAUUUCAAAUGUAAGUCUCGAUUCACACACAAGAGAGGAUGUUAAAUAAUAUGGUAUAUGUAUAAUGUUGGCAACCAAUUGCCAAACUCCCGUGGAAAUAAAUAGCCAUUGCGACACUCCUCUGCUUCCAAUUGCCAUUGCGACAUUCCUCUGCAAAUAAAUAGCCAGGUAUUUCCAUACAACGGAUAAACAGGUAAAGGGUGAAUGAGAUCGCCUUGCUUUAAUCCCUACACGGCGAGAAGGGAUAGAGCAUCCCACCGUUCAUAAAUGAUAGUGGUAGAAGCAGUAGUGAUGCAAAUCCACCUGUAAUUCAAGAUCGUUCAAGAUCGAUUUUAACAGCAGAGGAACCGGUCCUUCACUUCCGUAUGUUGCAUCAUAGAACAUCAUCAUGCGUUCCCCUCCCGCGGGGAUGAAGCUAGCCCAGCAAGGACUCUAAUGAGAUCAUCAAGAAAAAGGCCUUAAGCGCUCGAUAAAUGAGCAAAGCGUUCCUAAUUUUUCCAGUUCAUCCCUUUUAUGGGGGCAAAACAUAAAUUUUAUAUUUUGGAUCCUCUUUUCUUUUUUCUUUUUUCUUUUUUCUGUGUAGCAUGGCCCAGGGUGGCAUGUAACAAAUGAAAUGAACUAAGUUUUCAUGGAUUGAAGUUCAGUGAGGUCAAACAAAAGAAUUUUUGGGAGUCAUAUUAGCUACUUAACUCUCUUUUAGCAUGACCUAAGAUUAUAAACAUCUCUAUUAAAUUUGCGCAAUUUGUGUAGUCUGAAAUAAACAAGGAGAAAAAUUCUUCUCGCCCCAUUUUUUUGUCUAUCCUCUAACCGAUUAUUGCAGCUUACCCAUUGCCCCAUGCUUCCUCCACGACCCCCCAAGACCAUCUCGACAGCUACCGUUUCCGAUAGCUUCCUCCGCCUCGAUAAAAUAUUCGAUGGUUCCAUAGCGUUUACAUCAACUGCUGGUCAUGUUGCGAGUAUUUUUUACUCACGUCCGCUUAUAAAUUGACUCGUGUUUGUUGAUGUGGAUGGGAAAAGACAAUUAAAAUAUGUUUCUACUUCCACCGACCAUGAAAGUCGGACGAGCCGCCUCGCGUUUGUUUUUUCUUUUCGCCUUUUGAGGUCAUGGAUGAGCAAGGCAUGUGGUCAUGAUUGGGAGCGUCACCGGCCAGCCAUGAUAGCAGCAACAUCAAUAUGGACGAGCAAGGCUAGAGAGUAAUGUCCAUGCUCGACCAUUUUGUUUGGCCAGAUCCGGUCAGCUCUGUCAUCCCGGACCUUGGACAAGUCGCCGUCGCCAAGGUCGCAGAUCCGGACCAUCAACAAGUUCCAUCCUUCUACCUUGGUUGGGAAGACGGAACCAAGGGGCGAGUUCCUCCUUCUCCAUGGCGAUGGAGCUCUUAAUGGGCCUUCGAGAUCACUAGCCCUUCGAGUUGGAUGGCACCAUCCCGUCGCACCAUCUGCGCCCCUUAGCGGGCGUCGCUCGUGAUCAGCCUAAGCCACUCGCCCCGCCGUGUUGCUUGUCCAGAUAUGGCUUCGCCCAUGGCCACAAACCUUGCUCAGCAUAGCUCACGAGGCGGCUCAUCCACAGACUGCAGCUCGUCCAUGGCUACGAACCCUUGAUGACGAACUCGGAAUUCCAGCGGCCGUGAUCAGUAAACAAGCGCAAGCCUGGAUGGCCGGACAGCGCUCUGUGGAUGGAGGAGGAAGAGAGGAGUCAACGUCCACAUGUCAACCUAAAAUCGGACCCGUCAGCAGCUAUUGUGGCGCUACGAAAUCACUUCUUAGUUUCUCCACCUUUGUCCAACAUGCGAUAGAUCUCUCUCUCUCUCUCUCUCUCUCUCUCUCUCUCUCUCUCUCUCUCUCUCUCUCUCUCUCUCUCUCUCUCUCUCUCUCUCUCUCUCUCUCUCUCUCUCUUCAUGCAUGCGCGGGCCAGAGUGCACAGAGGCUUGAUUACCAUUGACAGUCCUUGUCCAUGAUCACGGCUCCUUCAAAUCUCCGCCUCCUUCAAAUCUCCGCAUCAGGCAGGCUUGGAGGGCGACCAAAAUUUACAUAGACGCCUCCACGGCAAGAGGGUUCUCGUAGGGUGAUCGGUUUCCGGUAAGGUUUGAUUUCCUAAAACAGAACCGAACCAGGGACCGGACUGAGAAUCGGACCACAUCAUCCGAUUCAAUAGAAUCAAUUACUUAUUUUUUCCUAUUACUUAGAAUUGGAUCAAGAUAAUAUUUAGUUUACAUUUUAUUUAUUUUUUAAGAUAAUAUAAUAAAAAAGUAUAUUUAGUUAGUCAUGUUCGUUUGAUCCAGUUUUCCCUUGGAAUUAGAAACCAAACCGCCACUCCUAGAAAUUGAACCAAAUCAGUCAAUCUAGAUGAUUCCCAAUUAGGGCGGUCCAUUUUGCACACCUCUAUCUCACACCGUCGAGAUCUAGAUGAGAGCAAUGUCCAUUUGUCUUGUUGGCAAAAUCUAAUGCCUCCAUCCCUUGGACGAGUGACAAUGCGCACAGAGAGAGAGAGAGAGAGAGAGAGAGAGAGAGAGAGAGAGAGAGAGAGAGAGACUGUUGCGUGGAGAGGGAGAGAAGGGCAUCGACAGUUGCUCAAAGAAGAGGGGAGGGAGAAAGGCAAAGUCAGCUAAAGUUUGGCGAAACCAGCGGCGAAAUAAUACUGUUAAUCCAUCAAUUUUGACCAAGUUAUCGCUUUUAAUUUGUUUAUUAUGAUUCUUCAAUUACUUUUCAUGUUCAAUAUAAUUUCUUAAACUUUUGAAUUUUUAAUCUAAUUUCUCAACUUCCUUAUAAAGUCAAAUCAAUCAUUUAGUACGAUUCAGAAGUUUUUGUAAGCGAGUUUUUUUUAAUAUCUUUUCAUUUCAGUAGUUUUUCUCCAAAAAAAAUUAAUAAUAUUACAUUACUUUGUGCCUUUUUGGUUUUUAUGAAUAUCACGAUAACUCAAUCAAAAUCUUUAUAAUUGUGAAGUGUAGCUAAUAAUCUCUAAAAUAGUAAAAUUAGAAUCCCAUUUGAAGCUGUGUUACAUUGGUAUUCCUAUUAUGUUAUUUAUAUAUGCUUUCAUAUUGACAUCUAUAAAUGAAAUUGAUUUAUCUGUAGAUAUAUGUAUUUGUAUUAAUCUAAAUCGUGUUCUUUAAUAAACAAAUAAGGAACAAGAUAUAAGACACUGAAAAUUUUAUUAAUUUGAAAAAUGAGGAACCUUGUUCUUAAAAGUGAUUGACUACGAAGUAGCGAUACCAUCCGGGAACCUUUGUAUCAUGUGGACACUUUGACACAUGUCUAACAUUUGGUCAACAGGUAUCAAAAUCAAUUUUCCCGAUACUCUUUGACACGUGAGAGGGAAUUCUAACAUCUGUGUUCCAAAUUAUAAUACGCAAUUCUAACAAGCAUGUGAUCAAUUUUUUAAAUUUUUAAUAAAUGAUGGGUCAAAAUAUAAAUAUGUAAAAAAAAUUUAAAAAAAAAAAGAGGAAAAAAGAAAAACAUAAUCUCUCCUUUUUUCUCUUUUUUUCUAAGUCUCACUUCCCGUGACAUGCAAUUCAUCCUUAAUGUGUAUUUUUUCUUUUCUCUUCCAACACGCUCUGACACACAAGUCCCGGACGUGAAUUGCUAUUUUUUUCCCUCCAAUUUUAUGCAUUAUUAGAAUAUAAUUGAAUUUGUCAGAUUGAAAUAAUGAAUGAUAUUAACAAAAUAUGGAUUAACGUUAUUGGUGUAAAUUCAUUCUACACUCUUUUUUAUUAUAUAUUUAGUUUUGAAUUUAAUUAAAAUAAUCAUAAAAAUAAUAAUUUAUCAUUUAUAUCUAUUAACAUAUACAUUUAAUAUACACCGUGUUUCAAUGGGUUCGAAUUCUUUAUUUUUGGAGAAUUAAUGUGUCAGCGUGUCAGGUCGCACGUGACUUGUUAGUAUCAAUACUUUCUUGAAGAAUGAAAGUGUGUUUUCAGUAGUACUCCCAAUAGGAGAGGCAGAGUUGCCUGAUAUAGCAUGGAUUAAAAAAGACAGUGGAGAUGUUAUCGAUUUCUUAAGGUACAUGGCAACAUAGAUGGUGCAUUAAGCUUCGGAAACAGAAAUCCUCAGCAAUAUUCAAGAAGAACAGAAGGCACAUAUAUCAUGAUCUAUGCUAUAAGUGCUUCUGUUCUCAGUACUGCAAUAUCAAAUGCAUAAGAACAGAAACAUACAGUACCAAGAUUAUUUACACGGUUUGCUAUCUCCUAUAUGGCGCUCGGAUAAAUUAGUUUUCACAAGCUGUGCUAGAUACAAGGUANNNNNNNNNNNNNNNNNNNNNNNNNNNNNNNNNNNNNNNNNNNNNNNNNNNNNNNNNNNNNNNNNNNNNNNNNNNNNNNNNNNNNNNNNNNNNNNNNNNNUUCUGCAUUUGUUUAGAGGACUAUUCAGCAGGUCAGAAAAGAAAUAGGUCAUACAUAAAUGGCAUCAUGUCCACUUUCUGGUACUCUGAACAUUCCUACGUUCAGCCUGAUGUACUGAAUUCCGUAGGCUUCCGCUCGCAUCUAGAGAUACCCCUUUUCUUUGCAGCAUUGGAUGGCUCCGUCAAACAUGUCCUCGAUCCUGUACUUAUACUCAAAACCGGCGUCCAACAGUUUCCUUGACGAUAGGCGGAAAAACCUGGGGCCUUUCAAUUCCUUCAAGGACCUACAAAGAUUUGAAAAGCUUUGCUUUCAGUCCAAGAACAGCAAUUAUCUGUUACAUCAUGAAAUGGGAUAUAUCAGGACUUACUCUGGAGAGGGUAUCUGAAACUCCGGGUAUCUUUCCGAGAGAAACUCGGACAUCUCCUUGAUGGUCAUCGUGGCCGAGGUACAAAUGUACCGCCCCUUGGUGUCGGGGUGCUCGAAGAGGAAGAUGUGUGCUCUCGCCAAGUCAUCUACAUGCACCAAAGCUACUUCGAGAAGAAGAGAGUACUCAUUCUCGUUCCCUGUUAAUUUGGAACGCAGUCAAUCUAAGAUUUAAGAUUCUUUGUAUCAUCGAAAUGAAUAUAAACAUAUAGACGGACAGAUUAUAGUCUUGUCUUCCUUUGUCAUAUACUUGACAUUGAGCAGAGAAACGUUGUCAAAUUAUGGAAUUCUGGUAUCGUUCUGGUGACCAAAACAAUCAAAUUAAUCAUCAAUUUGACUGCAGUACCAAAGGUGUAUCACAAAAAGUUAUUGUAAAAUCAAUAGAUCAUGGAGAUCAAUAUUAUAUGAACCAGAGUUUCUCUGUGAAUUUCACAUGAUCAACAGUUCAGAUAGACUUGACUGACCCUAUUUAUAUUCAUCAUAUGAUAUUUUCUCGUGUAUCGCAUUACCUAAUACCAAAGCCAGCGAAAUUCGGACGGAUCCAGCGAACUUGGGGCAAAUGAAGGGCCCGUGGACAAACGUGGGAACCACCGUCACCACUUCCAGUCCGUGCUGCUCUCCGAACUCAAGAACCGCCUUCUCAGUCAAUGUCUUUGAGAUUGCGUAGGAAGCUCCAAUCCUCGUCAUUUCUCGGAUGGACUCAACAUUGCUCCAGGAGUCCUCAUCCAAUAUAUCGGCCCCAGAGUUGUUAUAUUGAAUUGCAGCCGCACUCGAAGUGUACACGACCCGCUUCACCGUCUUGGAGUUCAGGCAGGCCCUUAGGAUGCCCAACGCUCCAUCGAUGGAUCUUUUGGUGACGACCGGCUCUGGCUCUCUGUCCUCGAAGUCCACCGGGGUGGCAACAUGGAAGACUCCGACACAGCCCUCGAUGGCUGGGCUGAAACUCUCGGGGUCACUGAGGUCAGCGGUUAGGAUUUGGAGCCUUUCUGAUGCUCCUGGUAGAUUUUUCAAGAAGCUCGUGUCCCUUUUGUCAUCUGACCGGAACAAAUCGGUCAAUGGCUUUGCGAAUAAAAGCUCAAACAUCUAAUGGGAAACUGAUGUGUGAGGUUAACUGGAGAUAGCAGUCCAAAAUAAAUUAACCAACGUGACUCAUUCAGGAAACACUCCGAAUUACAGCAUUAAACUUAGAAACGAGAACUGCAAGAAAAGCUGAUUCAAGAGAGAAUGAGCGAAUUCAUAUGUAGAACAAGAGCAAGAGAUCAUCAUUAACC
RNAcentral lists this long non-coding RNA (15731 nucleotides) under Eucalyptus grandis. RNAcentral's name for it is "long non-coding RNA (EGRA_LNC002713)". The record is from RNAcentral. Lineage: Eukaryota; Viridiplantae; Streptophyta; Magnoliopsida; Myrtales; Myrtaceae.